UAUGCAGUCGAGCGGUACAGAAAGUAGCUUGCUACUUUGCUGACGAGCGGCGGACGGGUGAGUAAUGCUUGGGAACAUGCCUUGAGGUGGGGGACAACAGUUGGAAACGACUGCUAAUACCGCAUAAUGUCUACGGACCAAAGGGGGCUUCGGCUCUCGCCUUUAGAUUGGCCCAAGUGGGAUUAGCUAGUUGGUGAGGUAAUGGCUCACCAAGGCGACGAUCCCUAGCUGGUUUGAGAGGAUGAUCAGCCACACUGGGACUGAGACACGGCCCAGACUCCUACGGGAGGCAGCAGUGGGGAAUAUUGCACAAUGGGCGCAAGCCUGAUGCAGCCAUGCCGCGUGUGUGAAGAAGGCCUUCGGGUUGUAAAGCACUUUCAGUCAGGAGGAAAGGUUAGUAGUUAAUACCUGCUAGCUGUGACGUUACUGACAGAAGAAGCACCGGCUAACUCCGUGCCAGCAGCCGCGGUAAUACGGAGGGUGCGAGCGUUAAUCGGAAUUACUGGGCGUAAAGCGUACGCAGGCGGUUUGUUAAGCGAGAUGUGAAAGCCCCGGGCUCAACCUGGGAACUGCAUUUCGAACUGGCAAACUANAGUGUGAUAGAGGGUGGUANAAUUUCANGUGUAGCGGUGAAAUGCGUANAGAUCUGAANGAAUACCGAUGGCNAANGCAGCCACCUGGGUCAACACUGACNCUCAUG
This 700-nucleotide ribosomal RNA is filed under the name Pseudoalteromonas sp. RNAcentral's name for it is "bacterial SSU rRNA". It matches the Rfam family "Bacterial small subunit ribosomal RNA", at positions 54 to 751 of the family's 1533-position model. The record is from RNAcentral. Lineage: Bacteria; Pseudomonadati; Pseudomonadota; Gammaproteobacteria; Alteromonadales; Pseudoalteromonadaceae.